GAAAAUGGUUUUGAUUGCUCUUGGAGAGACUUUCCAGGACUUUCCAGACUAAUUCACUGGGGGGAAAAUGAAGGGCAUCCUUUAUCUGCCGUUGUUUUGAGCACAAGCAGUUCAGAAUUGUUCCCUUAAAGUCUAUGAGAUUUCACAGCAAAACAUUCAUUAGAAGAACAUCUGCAUAGAGCUUUCAUGUAAUUUGAAAGCUCAAGAUUGUCUCUUUGGCCUUGUUUUUGCCCUCAAACUGGAUUUUUAUUGCGGCAUUGUAUUGCGUCUUGAGGAAAUGGUGAUCAGGGAAUUCAGAGAUAGCCUUGCCUGGUGCUUCUUUAGCAUACGUGGUAAAUGUUCAAUGCAAGUUAAAGCUUCCCUGUUAUAGAUUUUUAUGCAUGUUUGGUUGACUUUCGAAACAGAAUGGG
RNAcentral lists this unclassified non-coding RNA (410 nucleotides) under Hevea brasiliensis (rubber tree). The record is from RNAcentral. Lineage: Eukaryota; Viridiplantae; Streptophyta; Magnoliopsida; Malpighiales; Euphorbiaceae.